Molecule: long non-coding RNA, 2089 nt
Filed under: Chrysemys picta bellii (western painted turtle)
Lineage: Eukaryota; Metazoa; Chordata; Testudines; Emydidae
Description: lncRNA (ENSCPBG00000018947.1)
Source: RNAcentral
CUAUAUAAGAAAAAGACUCAAAAAUCGGGACUGUCCCUAUAAAAUCGGGACAUCUGGUCCCCCUAGUAUGUGUUGGGGUGCCGGUAUGUGCAGGUCUGAGUGCGACACCGGAGGCUCGGCAGCACUAAUUCAAGGGGAAGUUUCUCCCUCGUAGGCCUCAUGAGCUCAAAGCGGCUUGGGGAUCAGAAUCGUGCUCUCUAAGGGAAGGAGCAGGGGGAGCCCAUGCCUGCCUGACAGGAGCCGGGCUAGCUCUGCUCGGAGCUCGCAGGUGGUGGCCUUCAGUUAGGGGUGUGAGGAGAAAGGCAAACCUGUGGAGCUGCUGCCAUCUGCAGGGGCCUGGCAGGGUGUUCCACCGGCGUGUGUAUUUCUGCGGCUGUAGCUGGAGUGCAUUGGUCUCCCUGGUGCAGGUGGAGCUGGGGAACAGUCCUCCCCACUCUUUGGCAGGCUUCCCGAGGCGGCUGCAGGCUCAAGGCCCGAUGCAUCCAUCCACACGGAUUGAUAAUCACGAUGGAUGGUGUUUUCUUUCUUCGCCGCAGUCCUGAGAGGACGGUCACAUAAAAACGGAGGGGAACCUACUAAAUCUUGGUUACUCUUCCCACUAGCCAGUGUGGCCAGGGGACCUUGUGUCAUGGUCCAGAGCACGGAGACGUUCGAAGAGCCUCUUAGUGCCAGCCAAGGGCAGAUCAAUCAUUCCUGUGAUGCCGUACCAGCCGCCUUUCUGAAAUGCAGGUGAAUGAUGGCUGCUGACAGUCUCGCUAGACAGGCCCCAGCUCCGAUUCCUCCGGGGCUGGAACUUGCGCUCACUUCCCAGAAGCCCUGCCAACUCUCCCACAGCCUUCGAUAUGCUGCUUGCCUCCGUACCUGCGCCGGCUUGGCAGCUGAAUUCACAGUCUGUGGUUCUCUCCCCCCUGACUGGAAGGAGGAUGAGGAGGAGACAGCUGUAGAGAAAAGCUCCAGGCAGGUCCUCACAAGCCACCAGCAGAAGUGGACGGAGUCCCCUGUGGAGUGCCGUAGCUUCAAUUACCCGCAGCUGUGCAGCUAACACCAGUGGCCUAAGCAGCUUGAAUAUUGAUGAGGGAGCAUUUCAGAGUCACCUCCAAGACUAAAGAGACCCCAAUUUACAUCCAAAGCUAAAAACAAAAAGCCACAAACAAAACCCAACGCUGUGUUUGAAGCGAUGGGCGACAAUGCGCGAUACAAAAGCAAAAGUCUGAAUUAUCCAUGGCGCUCGCUCUUCAACUGGGUGCCUUUAAGAAAACAGAAAAGAAGCAAGGUAGCUUUGAAACAAAGCUGUUUGACAGGCAGAGAAGCAGAGGUCUCAAGAAAAUUUUGCAUAUCUAAUUGGUCUCAGUUCAGAGUCCAGCCAUCCAGCCAUCAAAAGCCUCCACCGUUUUGCUUUUUAAUGAGAGAUUUUCAUACAUUAACACUUCAUUAAGUCCGUAGCCAAGUAAUUUUUAGGCCAAUUUAAAAUGCAUAUGCCAAGCGGCCUUGACUCUCGCCUGACUUCUUAAGAUAAUAGUUGACACAGCCCCGCGUAGCCUGCUCUGGCUGUCUGCUUCACCUCAGUGAUUGACCUGGAAGAGCAGGGGAGGGGGAGAAAGCUGCGGCAACUGGGAGAUUAAACAACUUUGCCAGAGUCAAACGGAAUGAACCAGGACCCGAACUUCCGUGCAGAAGAAGACGACAAAGCCAGCCAAGAGGAGAAACCGUUCCCAGGGCAUUUGCACCCACAAAAAAAUCACUACACCCUCUGUUCCUGGAAUGGGAAUAAGAAGGAAAAGGAAGGAUGAGAGCAGAUGGAGAAGAGUGAAAUGAACAUUGCAGUCAAUGCUACCCACCCCUGUACCGAGGGAGAGGAGCAUAGAACCAUAUCGCUACAUAGAUCACUCACAGAAACAUUGUGAUCUGCUCACCGUGUUCACUAAGGCCUGGAGGUCCCAGCUGAGCUCAGAGCCCCAUUAUGCCAGGCACUGUACAGACACUCAUGCCUUGUCUACAUGAAAAAGUUGCACUGGCUUAAUUUAAAUCAGUCUUGAAACCAAUAUAGUUAAACUGGUGCUAAGCCCUGUGCAAACACCGUUAUUUCAAU